AUUGUGUGUGGUACAUUUUUCCCUGAAAUAUUAUUGUGUUGACUGGAAAGUUAUUGUCUUUAUGUGAAUGUAAUGCCAAUUUUAACCCUUUUCAUAUUUUUAAUGUACAUGAGAUGGGUUUAUUUAAGUUGGUCUUUUGCACCAAGGAUUGUUUUGUAAAUGACCCUAAGUUUAGGUAUGAAGGUGGGGAUAUUUAUCAUUCAGUGGAUAAGACAAUGAUUUCUGAUCCUUUUCUUAAGUUUGUGACCUGAUUAAGGGGGUGCACUCAAAGUUUACUAUUGAUGUUGUGAAAAUAUGAUGGAAACAUGAAUAACGUUAUUUGGAAAAAUAUCUAAAACCCUUUAGAAAUGAUGAGGAAGCAUCAUUGUUAUCUUUGUUUGUUGAGAAGAAUAAUUGUGAAGUUGAAAUUUAUACUGAGCCCAAACCAUCUACGGGUGAGUUGACAUAUAUGGCAAGGUUAAGAGAAAAACAAAAGGGGAAUAAAAGUGGUCAGAACCUAGGAUUGGUAUGCACUUUAAAGAUAAUGAAUAAGAGAGAAUGCAUGAUUUUGAUGAAGACUUUGAUGAAGGGUUUAGUUUUUAGGUGGAUAAAGUCGAGACUAGAAAGGAGAAUGUUGAUGUUGAUGAUGAUGCUACAAGUCAACCACCCAACUGUAUGUUUACCACAAAAGAGAUAGGUAGGUAAAAUAUCAUAUAAGAAGAUUACAUGACUUGAUGAACUUGAUAGUGGGGUAGAUGAAAAUAGUUGUGAUGACAACCUUGCAUUGAUUAGGUUUAAUGAAGAGGAAGCACUUACAAAGGAUUUCACAUUCAAGGUUGGAAUGGAAUUUUCAUCUCUGGAGAAAUUUAAGAAUGUUAUACUAGAACACAAUGUCUUGAAUAGUAGGAAGUUAAGAUUUUCCAAAACAAUUAUACCAAUAGGUGUAGGAUUGUUUGUAAGAAUGAAAAGCGGUGUAACUACAUUUUGCUAUGCAAAAGGGUUUUAAUAACUGCAACAUAUAAGUCGAGACUUUGUUUCACAGACACAAAUAUGGGAGAUAAUUCUUCAAUAAGAAUGUCAAGGUUGAUUGGAUUUCUAAAACGAUUGUAGAAAAGUUAAAUAACAAUAUUAUGACACUGAAAACACAUGGAGUUGUGGGACCUAGGAAGCAUGUAUAGGAUCCAGUUGUGAUUCCUGAAGAAGAAGACACAGUUGGUGGCAGUGCUAAGAGAAACAAGACUUGGGAUGAAAUUCAAAAGAGCAUGUCUCAAUGAUUUUUUAUCAUGAAUUAUGUAUCUCUUUUCGGGUUUUCACUAUGUUUUUAACCUAAUGAUUAUGUAUCAUCCUGACUUAUCUUAUUGUCGUACCUUAAAAAACGAGAACACUACCUCGUGAAGCACAAUUACACACUCACAGAAUGGACUAACAGAGUCGCCGUCAAACUUUAUUUAUUUCCAAAGAGGGGAAGGGAAAAUACUGAUAAAAUAACGACAAGGAUAUGGUCAUCGCAAGUAAAUCAAGGUUAAGGAAUUGAGUGCACAAGGGGAAGGUAUUAGCAUCCCUCAUGUCCAUUGUACUCAACAUGAGCCAUUUAGUUAGUUGUGCAUGUUAGUGUUAGCUUUUUAAAUGUUAUGCUUCUCGAGUUAUUAAAAAUAGAAUAAGACAAAACGAAUUUUUUAUUUAUUUAGGGUGCCUGAAGAGAUUUUUAAUCUCGCUCCUACGUAUCUUCGGGUAUGAUGGAUAACUCAAGGUUACGUAGUUCUGGGUAGAAAAUGUUUCUUUGUUGGUUGAUUUUAGAAAAAACUAUUUUGUCUCAAUCAAUGGAAACACAUUACUUGCUAGCCAAAACAUGCGAGGAGAAGGAGUUUGCAUUACAUUGAAUGGAUUUCUACAUAUCGACAUUCACGGGAAAACAUCACUUAUCUUAACUCACACAUUUGUGAAUGAAGCAUUGUUUUGAAUCGUCUCGAGGCGAAAACAUCUUUCAUUUAUGAAAAGGUUUGAAGAUCGUGCGGAGGCAAGAAAAAAGUUUGAUGUAUUUUGAGUGAUGUGAGUGCUUGGAUGGGAGAGAUAUCCAUCUCGUAUCUUAGACUCUAGAGCUCGUGGUAUCCACCAUGUUCCUUUUCCAUCUUAUUUGCAAAAUGAUUUGAUAUUUUUAGAUGUUUUGAGAUUUUUGAUUGAGAAACGGUUUGAAAAAGUUGCAAUGAAAUUUUUGAGUGAUUGUGAGAACUCAAAUGGGCGAGAUAUCCAUCUCUUAUCCUAGCCUUUAGAGCUCGUGGUAUACGCCCUGCUCAUUUUUCAUAUUUAUUGAAAAGUGUUUAGUAAGAAAUAAGUGUUUUGAUUUUCUUUUGGAAAAAUGAAUUUGACGUUGGAUCAAACAUUUGAUUAACGUUUGGGAAAUGGUUGUAAAAUUAUUUGAAUUGAGAAUGAGAUGGUUUGAAAUUAUUGAGGGUGAAAUGAAUUUGAAAUUGAAUGGUGGAAGCUUGGUGUUGGGAAAAUGUUUUUGAAAAUGGAACUUGGUGUUGACUAAGUAUUUUUAUUGUUUUGAAAGAUUGAUUUUACAUUUUGUGCUAUUAUUUAUUUAGUUCAUUUUAACUAACUAAGAGCAAUGGAAAUAAAAGCGAGAAAAUAAAUACAAAUUACAAACAAGGGAUGGGGUACAUUUUGUCAAAUGGGGAUAUAAUAAAGCGAUUAAAAAGUAAGUUCGUCAAACAAGUAAAUGCAAACACCAAAAAGGAAACUCAUUGUUAGAAGGCAAAAAAGUAAGUCAUGGGACCGGAAAAUACGCGAAAUCAAAAGCAAACUAAAUUUAGCACUAUGUGACACUAACUUAAAAUGACUUAAUGUAGGAAUCACUCUAUAAAAAGUCGGUCAACAAAAUCUAUGCGUCCAAGCGAAUUUCGGAAGUUAAAUUGGAUUUUAACUUCGAAAUCGCAAAGCAAUGAAAUCAAUGCAACAAUUAAUCAAAUAAUCUAUUUAAAAAAUUAAUUAAUUAAUUAAACCAAAAAUAACUAAUAAAUUAAUACUCUCUCAGGUUCUUUUUAAGUGUAAUUUUUUAAUUUUUUUACCGGUAUUAAGAAAGUUAAUCAUUAUUGUUACUUUUCAAACAAUAAUUCUUCUUUUACCUAUAAUAUCCUUAACUAUUUAUUACAUUUAUUUUACUUUUUUCCUCUGUGUAAUAAUUAUUUAGGGACAAUUUUGAUAAAAGUGCAAUUAAUAUUAUCUUGAACUUUAUAAGUGAUAAUUAAAAAGAAACAUUUUUUUCAAAAAAGUGACACUUAUAAAGGAAUAAAGGGAAUAAAUAAUUAAUUAAUUAAUUACCGAUUUAGAAAAUAAUCAAGAGAUAAAAAAUAAAAAACAAAUCUAAAUUUAAAAAAAAAAGUGGUGAAUGAAAAAAAUGGGCAGGGUGCAGAAAUCAAAAUAGUUUUGGGCCCAAUACACCAAAACACUAAAACCUCAAUUAAAACUAAAAAUAAAUAAAAAUAAAAAUAAAAAUAAAUAACAAUAAACAAGAGAAAAAGAAAAUGUUCUGCUAGAGAUGUAGUAGUGGAUAGAGGUUAAUGGCAUGAUAGAAGAAAAAAAACGAGAUGAAGUUCUUUACAUGAAUCAUAGAAUGAAAGUAACUAGUGUGUUUGAAAAAUGGUAAGGUAAGGUUAUGAGAAAGAAGAAAAGAUAUUGGUGAAAACAUGAGGUCACUAUAAAGAACAAAAUGACUUUUGAAUCAAGAAGAUUUUUUUUCCUUUGUUUCUACUUGGCUUUUGUUUUGGAAUACUGAGUGAGAAAUGAAGAUUCAUGAGUUAUAUAACCAUUCUAUUAGACUGCUUUGGCUAGAUGAAUUUGAUUUCUCCUUUUUGAAUGUGUGAGAAAGAAUGAAGUUAUGGGUGAUUCAGUAUAUGAGUUGAGAGAAACGAGUAUAUUGCAGCUUUUUGAUAAUAUCUCUCUUGCCUUCUUUUCUAAAAUCCGUUAUUUGAAAUGUGAAAGCCCAUCUUCAACAAGUGUAGCGCCUCGUUUGAUUUUUUCUUUCUUUCAGCAACAUAACUUUAUUUAUUGGUGUAUCAUUAGAGUUACAUAAUAUUAGCAUACCUAUAAAAUGCCUCUAAUGAAUGUUAUUAGUGUGAAAAUGGUUUUUAAAAAACUAAAUUAACUUAUUUUAAAUCAAAAUUGAAUCGAGAUAACAACACAAAACAUUCUAAUUAAUUAUUAAAGAUACUUUGAUAAAUAAAUAAAAAUAAAAGGAUUCAAAAUAAAUAAAAAUCAAACGUAAAAAUAUACAAAAAAUUAAAUUGAAUGCACCAAAAUGAUCAACGCAAAAUAAAAUUUAAAAAAAUAUAUAGGUUUCGAUCAAAUUUUAAAACAAAAAAUGAUCGGUUAAACGGCUCAGGCUGAUCAAACUGCGAUCGAAAAAAUAAAACGAGCACACCAUAUUACAUUAUACGAAUCAUAGAUUAAUAAAACUCACGUCCGCUAAUUUCACGUACAUUGAGAAUCAGUUUAAUUUAUUUUGGUAGAUAUUUUAUGCAUUAUGCGAUAUGAAAUGGAUAUUAUGACAUAUAAAUUAUACAAAUAUCAUGAUGUAUGUAUUAAUUUAUUGAAUGAAGGACAAAAUUGGGAUAUGACAAUUAUAUAUUGUAAUGAAUUGUGUAUUCUUUUGUUUACUUUGUUUGUAAUUUCUUUUGUGAAACUUUGUAGUAUCUUUUUUGUGAAACUUUGUACUAUAAAAACCUCUUUUGGUACAAGUUUAACAUAUGCUAAACUUGUCAUCAAUGUUAUCUAGUUUGGAACUAUGAAACAUCAGUGGUAUCUUUAAAUGUUAUCUAGUUUGUACUGUCAUAAAAGGAUUUUAGGAAAAAUGAUGGGUAAUUUUUGGGGUAUGACACCUACAUUGGUAGGACUUCAGACAACCAAGGAUCCAAGAGAAUUAUGGAGAGUUGAGUGAGAAUCGAAGAGAUGAAAUUUUCUAGAAAAUACCUUCAAUACAGGUCUGAAUUCAACUGUUCUUGCUUUGAUUCGUGGUUGAUCUUGCUCAUAACGCUUGGAGGAAUGGAUUAGAAUGAUCAAAAGGUCUUGGAUCCCCGGAGAUUUGAAUCUCAAAACAGUGAGAUUCAAACUCAAUCUCCAAUGGAAACACAUUAACACAUAUUUAUCACCUUCUUCAACAACUGACUUUUGAAUCAAGAAGAAUUUUUUUCCUUUAUUUCUACUUGACUUUUGUUUUGGAAUACUGGGUGAGAAAUGAAUAUUCAUGAGUUAUAUAACCAAUCUAUGAGAGUGCUUUGGCUAGAUGAAUUUGAUUUCUCCUUUUUGAAUGUGUGAGAGAGAAUGAAAUCCAUGUGAAGAGAGGAAGGUGAUUCAGUAUAUGAGUUGAGAGAAACGAGUAUAUUGCAGCUUUUUGAUAA
Molecule: long non-coding RNA, 5375 nt
Filed under: Lathyrus oleraceus (garden pea)
Lineage: Eukaryota; Viridiplantae; Streptophyta; Magnoliopsida; Fabales; Fabaceae
Description: Pisum sativum (pea) long non-coding RNA (PSAT_LNC019983)
Source: RNAcentral